UCGGUGCUUGCACCAAGAUUCAACAUGGAACGAGUGGCGGACGGGUGAGUAACACGUGGGUAACCUGCCCUUAAGUGGGGGGAUAACAUUUGGAAACAGAUGCUAAUACCGCAUAGAUCCAAGAACCGCAUGGUUCUUGGCUGAAAGAUGGCGUAAGCUAUCGCUUUUGGAUGGACCCGCGGCGUAUUAGCUAGUUGGUGAGGUAAUGGCUCACCAAGGCGAUGAUACGUAGCCGAACUGAGAGGUUGAUCGGCCACAUUGGGACUGAGACACGGCCCAAACUCCUACGGGAGGCAGCAGUAGGGAAUCUUCCACAAUGGACGCAAGUCUGACGGAGCAACGCCGCGUGAGUGAAGAAGGCUUUCGGGUCGUAAAACUCUGUUGUUGGAGAAGAAUGGUCGGCAGAGUAACUGUUGUCGGCGUGACGGUAUCCAACCAGAAAGCCACGGCUAACUACGUGC
This 461-nucleotide ribosomal RNA is filed under the name uncultured Lactobacillus sp. Its description in RNAcentral is "bacterial SSU rRNA". It matches the Rfam family "Bacterial small subunit ribosomal RNA", at positions 62 to 508 of the family's 1533-position model. The record is from RNAcentral. Lineage: Bacteria; Bacillati; Bacillota; Bacilli; Lactobacillales; Lactobacillaceae.